RNAcentral lists this long non-coding RNA (235 nucleotides) under Elaeis guineensis (African oil palm). Its description in RNAcentral is "long non-coding RNA (EGUI_LNC065288)". Lineage: Eukaryota; Viridiplantae; Streptophyta; Magnoliopsida; Arecales; Arecaceae. The record is from RNAcentral.
AGGUGGCCAAGAAAAAGGCCAAGGUUCAUGAGCCAUGAGGCAUUCAUGGAGGUUCUAGGGCUAGUUUGGGCCCUAGCGUGAAAGGCUAUCGAUUUUCAUAGUCUUAAGGUCCAAGAGAUUUGGGCCUUAAGGGGCUAACUUGUAUUAGAUUAGGUUUGUAUCCAAGAAAGAUGAGAUUGGAUCAAGUUAUGGGUGUACAUGGGGUUGGAUAAGCGCAAUCUCAUAUUGGAUUAGC